AGUUUAGGUGAGAGACGAGCGACUGGUGCGCAACUCGAUGACCAUGCAACACAGAGCAUAAAACGCGAGUUUGCCAGGUGCGGAUAGAUAACAAAACAGUUAGGAAACCGAUGUUUUUCGUCUGCGGAACGCGAUUGCCUUUCAAACGAAUUGCGCGUUAGAUCACCGCUCGUUUAUUGCUCGGCGAGAUAUAAAAGAAGUUCGUCGGUCAUAUUAUCGACGAAGUGCUGUUAGGCAAUGAAACCGAUUCCAAUAACCGCUUUCGUUCCAUGGAAAAAGAGGGCGUUGCGCAAUAACCGUAAGAAGAAAAAGGGAGAAGGAAAAAUACGGGGAGAACGAAGGAACGGUAACGGAAAGAUAAAAAUAUCCGUGAUCCAAUAGUCGAUAAGCUAUCGGCGCGAACUAGAUCGCAUCUGGGGGCUGCUCGUUUCAAGUGGUCACGAGACUGCGAUUAUUACCACGGCCACGGCACAUUCGUUAACCGACGGGCCGUUCACCUUACCGUGCAUCGUCAGUUUGAAUAUGUCAGACGAUAUGUGGCGCUGGUGGAUGAACUCUGUAUCAUUUUGUCAGACGUGUCUGUGCAGGUUCAAGUCAACGGCUGCCCGAAGAUCGCGUCACGACAUGCUUUCGAUCGACAACAUCGUCCAUCAUACUCGUGUUUAUUCUACUCAAAUAUCUAUCAUAAGAUGAUAAUAAUUCAUACUAAUAUUAAAAUAAAUCCAAAAAGAGAAGAAAGAUAAAUAAAGAAAUUUUUAAGAAAAUUCAUAUAAAUGUCAAACGUUUUGUUUAUUAAUCAUUUUUUUAGGUUAGAACAAAAUUAUAUAAAACUAUGAGAGUCCUAAGAAUCGUAUUUUUCAUGCGGUAGUUAUAGUUACUGGAAUAUAUUGUCUCGCAUUAACAUGUUGCAACGGCAAAAUGCAUACAUAUAUGCAUUGUUUCUAGAAAUAGCUGUCUACUCUCGAUUCUAGUAUCUACCGCAUCGUGCAUCGUUAAUCCAAUCGCGAUGAGAGGUAUGCAGAAACAUUGAUCGCUGCGUUACGUGUUUUUUUCCGCGAGGCAACAAAUAUUGUAAUAAAUCAGGCUUUCCAUUUUUUACUACUGACUAGACGUUUAUGGUAAAUAGAUAGAUAUUUGCUUCGCAAAUUAUCAUCGUGUAACUACAUCAUAGAUAGGCUUACUAUACUGAAAACUAAUAUCCACUAAUAUUCAACAAGCAUACAUACGUAUUUCACUUUGCUGCGUUCUUUU
Bombus huntii is the source of this 1251-nucleotide long non-coding RNA. RefSeq lists it as uncharacterized. The record is from RefSeq and is a predicted model, not a curated record. The transcript is spliced from 3 exons. Lineage: Eukaryota; Metazoa; Arthropoda; Insecta; Hymenoptera; Apidae.